GUAAGCGACAUGACACACAUGCAGAAUUAUGGGCAAACGUUCGACAUGACUGGCAAUACAAAUUUUGAUAACUACAUUCCCAAAAGUGAUCGCAUGCACAGCAUACCAUGAAUAGUAAUCUAUGUGCAUAGCAGGCCGUCGCAAUACCUUUAAGGGCAGUCAUUGGGCCAACAAGUCUAAUUUGCUUGAAAAAUGAAAGCCACAAAAAGUGAAAGAAGAAAAUUGUUGCUAUGCCACAAAUUGAAAAGUAGUAGGAUCAACACGUGGGUUAGCGCACGUUAACGGCAAAUUCGAUUCGAAAAAUUUCCAUGGAAUAUCGUUUGAAGUGCCAUACGCCGCACACAGGCGUACAACCAGCAGCGUUGGCCAAUCAAACAGCUUGACCUCAGCGGAUCAAAAGCAAUUGUUAAAACUGGAAUGUGUUGGCCUAGGAGCUAGGAGCACAUACACACAUAUACAUAUUGAUGUCUGAUCAUACAUAUAUGUACAAUACAUACGACCAGUUCGUUUUCCGUUAACUGACUGGUCGCUUUCUUGGAAGUUCUAUGCAUCAAUGCCGGAAAAGCCCUCACAAGAUGCAAUAUUUGCUUCUUAGAAUUUUACCGUCUGAUCGGUUGCCUUUAGUUAAUCGAUGAUAAGUAUGUGACACAGAUAAGUGCGGGUGUGUGUGUGUGCACACAGGAUUUCAUUACAAAAGUCCCCUAAGCAUGAACAACAACACCAAUAAAAACAAGCUGAAUAGUUUCAAAUGAAAUGAAUUAAAUGUUAAGCGCUACAAAAAAAUAAAAAAUAACUCGCUCCAAGAAGAAGAAGAAGCAAUUCAUUAAUAAAUAGUUGGCGAGUGCUGCCAGAGGCGAAGGUAUGCGCUGCAACCGGCUCGCAAUCUCGUGUAGUGCAGCACACACAUACACGUACGACUUGGUCAAUUCAAUUCGUUGCAUUCGAAUAAUUUUCCAAAGCAAAAAAUGAGGAAAGAUACAAAAAAAGUGUGAAUGGAAGCCCCGGAGCUGCUGGUGUGUUAACAGGUUUCGACGAAGUCACCGGCGGCAUGCACACACUCUCAUAUACUUAUACAUAUGCACAUACUUACAUACAGACAUAGGCACCUACAUACAUACAAACUUAUGUAUGUGAGUGCAUUUGUUCUGCCGUUUGCCGGCGGCUCAUUGCUUGUUGCUAUGCGCACAAAUUGCCGCCAUCGUGGCCACCUGGAGAUAGCCCACUGCACCGCCAGCUAGCGGCCGCAUGAAAUGUGAAUAUAACGACUCAUAUAGUACAUAUGGACGUAUGCAUGUAUAUAUGCAUGUGUGUGUAGGCUUUUGGCAACAGCACGUUGAUGUAGUUAGCCUCAUUGGCGAUCCGUUCACCGGCGGCUCUUGUGUGCCUGCAUGCCGACAUGCAUUUCUUCACGUCAUCCUGGCCGCUGUGGCUGACCGUCGGCAGUCGAUUUGGAGUCAUUUGUCAUGUAUAGAUUUGGAUUAGCUUAGAUCGGCUCAAGCGUUAUAACGGCCUUAAGCUGGCAUCAGUAAAUUGCUUAUCUACUUGUAUACUUACACAUACACACACACAGAUACAUACACUUGUCUGCUUGAAGUAAUUUCUUUCUAAGAACAUUCGUGUUGCGGCAAAUUCUGCGAAAUAAAGUUGAAAGAUGAAUGAAGUACAGCAGAAUUCAGAAUUUUUAAAUGGAACAUUUUCAUAUAAAUUAUGCUCGUAACAUAAUUCCAUUAUAGGACAUCUAUGGCUUCUCAUUCAUUAUUUUCAAGUUUUUGGCUCAGGAGUGGACACUAAAGGAAAGGAAAAUCAGAAGACUUAAGCAAGAAACCUUUCGAAUAAAAGAAAUGAUUGCACUUACUUUUAUCAAAAUGACAAAAAAAUUUCAAUUUUAAGAGAAAACGAUUUUGUUAUUUACUGAAAAAAAAUUAAAAACAUAUAAAAAAAAAAUUUUUUGUGCGUAAUAUUAUUUUUUGCUAAUUAUUUAAAUAAAAUAUAUUAAACUAAUUAAAC
Molecule: long non-coding RNA, 2007 nt
Organism: Bactrocera oleae (olive fruit fly)
Lineage: Eukaryota; Metazoa; Arthropoda; Insecta; Diptera; Tephritidae
Source: RefSeq, a predicted model, not a curated record